GAUGAACGCUGGCGGCGUGCCUAAUACAUGCAAGUCGAGCGAACAGAUGAGGAGCUUGCUCCUCUGACGUUAGCGGCGGACGGGUGAGUAACACGUGGAUAACCUACCUAUAAGACUGGGAUAACUUCGGGAAACCGGAGCUAAUACCGGAUAAUAUAUUGAACCGCAUGGUUCAAUAGUGAAAGACGGUUUUGCUGUCACUUAUAGAUGGAUCCGCGCCGCAUUAGCUAGUUGGUAAGGUAACGGCUUACCAAGGCGACGAUGCGUAGCCGACCUGAGAGGGUGAUCGGCCACACUGGAACUGAGACACGGUCCAGACUCCUACGGGAGGCAGCAGUAGGGAAUCUUCCACAAUGGGCGAAAGCCUGACGGAGCAACGCCGCGUGAGUGAUGAAGGUCUUCGGAUCGUAAAACUCUGUUAUUAGGGAAGAACAAAUGUGUAAGUAACUAUGCACGUCUUGACGGUACCUAAUCAGAAAGCCACGGCUAACUACGUG
This 497-nucleotide ribosomal RNA is filed under the name uncultured bacterium. RNAcentral describes it as "partial 16S ribosomal RNA". It matches the Rfam family "Bacterial small subunit ribosomal RNA", at positions 28 to 507 of the family's 1533-position model. The record is from RNAcentral.